GAUGAACGCUGGCGGCGUGCCUAAUACAUGCAAGUCGAGCGAACAGACGAGGAGCUUGCUCCUCUGACGUUAGCGGCGGACGGGUGAGUAACACGUGGAUAACCUACCUAUAAGACUGGGAUAACUUCGGGAAACCGGAGCUAAUACCGGAUAAUAUAUUGAACCGCAUGGUUCAAUAGUGAAAGACGGUUUUGCUGUCACUUAUAGAUGGAUCCGCGCUGCAUUAGCUAGUUGGUAAGGUAACGGCUUACCAAGGCAACGAUGCGUAGCCGACCUGAGAGGGUGAUCGGCCACACUGGAACUGAGACACGGUCCAGACGCCUACGGGAGGCAGCAGUAGGGAAUCUUCCGCAAUGGGCGAAAGCCUGACGGAGCAACGCCGCGUGAGUGAUGAAGGUCUUCGGAUCGUAAAACUCUGUUAUUAGGGAAGAACAAAUGUGUAAGUAACUAUGCACGUCUUGACGGUACCUAAUCAGAAAGCCACGGCUAACUACGUG
Molecule: ribosomal RNA, 497 nt
Filed under: uncultured bacterium
Lineage: Bacteria
Description: partial 16S ribosomal RNA
Rfam family: Bacterial small subunit ribosomal RNA
Source: RNAcentral